AUUGAACGCUGGCGGCAUGCCUUACACAUGCAAGUCGAACGGUAACAGGUCUUCGGACGCUGACGAGUGGCGAACGGGUGAGUAAUACAUCGGAACGUGCCCAGUCGUGGGGGAUAACUACUCGAAAGAGUAGCUAAUACCGCAUACGAUCUGAGGAUGAAAGCGGGGGACCUUCGGGCCUCGCGCGAUUGGAGCGGCCGAUGGCAGAUUAGGUAGUUGGAAGGGUAAAGGCCUACCAAGGCGACGAUCAGUAGCCGGUCUGAGAGGAUGAACGGCCGCACUGGAACUGAGACACGGUCCAG
This 302-nucleotide ribosomal RNA is filed under the name uncultured bacterium. RNAcentral describes it as "bacterial SSU rRNA". It matches the Rfam family "Bacterial small subunit ribosomal RNA", at positions 30 to 334 of the family's 1533-position model. The record is from RNAcentral.